CCCAGUUCUCAGAAAUCCCCGCGCUGCGGGAACAUCGAGCUCCGCUAGCGCAGCCCGGCUGCUGCCCUACAUCGCAGGCGGACACAUCCGUGUCUCUUUUGUUCUGCAGCUCCUGGAGUUGGAUGGGCCAGCCCUUGUAGGUUCGGUCAGUAUGUGGGAACAAGUAAGAAACAGAGGGUUUAAACACAUUAAUUUCCUUUCAUAAUUUUGGCUGCUGUUAAGUAAUAUUUUUGUACUGGUUCUCGUGUGUUCACCAGUGGAAGGGGCUGGGUUCUGCAGCUCACUUCCUUAAUGCUUUCAGGUUUUCAAAUAUCAAUUCAUAACCUUAACGAAAAAGACAGAUGCAAAAUGAAUGUGCCUGUGCUUGCGCAUAUCACAUUAUCACACAUUUCACAUUAUCUCUGGUCAUCUCUGGUCACAAGAGAGAGACUAAAAGGGCUUAUUUUGCCCUUAAUCCAUCCCUUAGUUCCUCUGUUUUUCUAGAUGAGAUACCUUGUUCUAGAAAGUUUCAUCUCAGAAAGAUAUAUUCUAAAAUAACAUGCUAGAAGAUCUUGUUUUGUGUUCUGUUUGUACCUACACUUACCCCUGUUUAGUAAUAAUUAGGUCAGAGCAUAGUUCAGGCCGAUGAAAUGCUUUUCUCCUUAAGUCAACCAUCUACCUUCAUGGUCACUCUUUUUUUUUUUUUUUUUUAAUGCUUGUUUUAGAGUUAGCCUUCAGUGAGAUAAAGUAAAAUAUUUUUAGUCAGUUUUAUUUGGUAAGCAAUUCUGACUUGACUGAAUUAAGCUAAAGUUUGCGGCAAGUCAACAAAGCUAACUUUAUUUUAUAUAUUUAAUUAUUUUACUGGGAGAGCCAAGGAGGUUUUAGAUAUCUUGAGAAGCAAAUGGACAAUUAAACUCUACAGAAAUUCAAAAUUGCCUGCUGAUUCUCAGUGCUAAGCAAACAUAAGCUCUAAUUUCUCUUCUUUUUUUUUCCUGAUAUUCUGUUCCUGUGCUCACACUCAGACAUUUAGAUCUUCAUACACAGAAGCACUUGGUUUGUAUAUCUACCUAGAUUUUGGGCCCUGCUAAGAACACCAAGGCAGCUGUAGCCACGCCACCAAGCCCAUCUUGCUGCCUGUGACAGUGGCCUGGGGAAGGACUUGACACCCCCUACAAACAUUUUCCAGACCUUUGGCUUGUUUGCAGCUUGGAGGCUCUCUGAUACUUUCGCACUUGUUUGCAAAAUGCCAACGAGCCCAGAGACCAGAGUUCAGAUCUCACCUAGACCCAAGUCAGUGUUCUGAGGACAAGGCUUACUCAUUCAAAGUCAAAUGGCUUAAUAAAGGAGGGUGGAGGCUAUGUUCUCCAGACUGCCUGAGCACUUGGCUCCAAGCUGAGAGCUGUGGGUACGAAUCCCUGCUGGAAAUCUGGACCUGCAGUGCUUUCAGCGCUGAUCUGCUGGAGUCAGCCACACCUUGCAGCACCUCAGAGAUGGGUCCCAGCCUGGGCCUAGCUGAAUUUCUUCUUGGUUGCCUAAAAUGUGAUUCUCUACUCAGUGGACUCAUUUUGACAGCCUUUCCAAGGCUGUCAGUACAAGGCAAACAAAAUCAUGCCUUGCCCUUGAUUCUGAGAUGGUUGAAUUGCAGGUCAGCUCCAGUGUUGGGCUAUUAUCACAGUGCUAAAUUUGAUCUGGUGAGUCCUGCUGGGGUAAAGAGGAUAUUAGUUCAUGCUCACUCUGCUGACGUGGCUGCGCAAUUUCUGGUCAGCAGUACAAGAAGCACAAGAGCGAGGCUGUGUAGCAUAGCCUGAGGUAUCUAACUCUUCUGUCAUGACGUAUGAAGCCUAAAGUGCAUACCUCAGAGCUCUAGCUCCCACACGUCUAUGAGAAGUGUGCAGAUAUAGUCACAUACAUAGCAUGAUGCGUCACCAUUGCCUCAGUAAUCUGCAAAGCAGGUUAUUGUCAAAGCUAAUGUUCAGGGCCAAGAGAGUUGUCACUGCGGUUACUUACACUGAUGCAUGCACCAGAGAUCUGUCUUUUCUUUUUCUUCCUUUUUUUUUUUUUUUCUUUUUUUUUUCUUCCCAUAGUCACCACAUAAUUUCCACCCAGUCUUCUCAAAUCUUAAUGCUCUGUUCAAAUACGUGCUUUGUGUGCCUCUGGUUUCACCAUGGUGGAUUGUCAUGCGUGGCAGCACUGCAGACUUGUGUAGUUGAAUGUGUAGAGAAAAAGCUGUAAAGAGAACAGAAAAAAGCAUGAACAACGAUGUCAGUUAGUAGAAUUUAAUUAUAACUUAGAAGCAAAGCUAGUUGACUGAGCUUGUGUUAAACGGGUUUGGAGAACCAGGUGAUCUAAUAGCUCUUUGAUUUUUCAGGUAAGAAACUAGUGAAGGACGUGAUUCUCUUAAGAGCACGUGCUCCUCCUCUUCACUGUGGCUAAUUUUGUAUCUCUGUGACUAUUUCUAUGUAUUUUGCUUGUCUGAAAUCUACUGACAACAGUAAUUAGGUGAAUACUACUUUUUUUUUUUUCUUGGUGCGUGUGUUACAAAGGGCAAUACUGAAUCAGAGAGAAGACAUAUCUUGCUAAGGUUCUGAGCUCCAAGAGUAAGUCAAAGACUUCAAGAUUAGCUAUUUAUGUGCUACUUGGACUUUCAAGUAACCUUUUUUUCACUCAGAAGGGCAGUUAGGCCACCAUUAUGUUGUUCUAGCUGACUCCAAACCCACUUAUCCACUUCAAGGUAUGAAAUGAUCAAAUCUUAGAAUGAGUGCAGCAGUCAAAACACCAAGUUUUUGGUGUCUCUACUCUGCUCAAAUAAUGGCACUGACGUUUUAAAUGAAAUAGUUUGACAGCUAUGAAGGUUUGUUUUUCAGGUGGAGCAGCUUAGCAGGGUAGCUGCAAGGGAAUUUUGCAGGAUGGAUCAGAGAGUAGUACUUCCAGCACCAAGGCCAUCUGCUGGCAUUGUCACUGUAAUACUGUCUGAGGAGCAACUAUCGUUACUACAGAUAUAUAGUAUGAAAUAAUCUUACUGUUAAGGAGAGAGAGACAGAAGAAAACUAUUAUUUAGGCUUGCUUAAUUUUUGAAGCUCCCCUCAACUUUUUGAGCUUCAGCCUUACCCUGACAAAGAAACUCCCAUCACAGCUGUAUGUGAGUCAGAAGUCCGGGUAUAUUUAGCUAAUGCUUGUAGAAGUUGCGCCACCUGGAGCCAGUUACACAGAACGGAAAAUACCAAAUGUUUUCUAAUGACCUGUGAUGAAAACAUACAUUUUGCCUGUCCAAGUAAAGCUUGAAGACAGCAAAGCGUGUUCCUGCUGCUUGCAAGAAGAGAAUUAUAAUAAAAUUAGCACUUUGUCGCUGCCAGCAUUUCAUAUGGAGUUCUUUAUAAAUAUUCAUAUAAAUGACCCAUCUUGCUAAUUAAGUAGUUGUCUCUAUACAGAGAAUGGUACUUCGUGGUAUGCAAUGGGUGUUAAUCUCCCCCCAGAAGUUAAGUACAAGGCGCUUUUAUGGUCUGUGAUCUUAACUGUGCUAGGAGCUUCAUUCAGAUACAUAACUUGUCCUGCCUAGAAUUCAGAGUAAGAUCAAACGAUAAAGGUCAACCUCAGUAAACAUUUGCCCAUAGAAAUGGCAUUAAAUAGCUAUGGUGUUCCUCCUCAUAUCCAUCAUGCUGUGUUUUGUGGAAGACUGAACUGAAAUUCAAUUUGCCUGUUGAUGUUUACACCAGCAGCUGUUUUGAGAAUUUCAGCAUUCAUUUCAUCAAGCAAGUAAAUAUUUACUACUCUGUUUCUCCCAAAGCAGCAAUGGCUAUUAAAUGAUAACAAAAGAAGUUGUGGUAUUUGUGCAGAAAUGAAUAAAUCUCCAAUUUUUCUCCCAGGAGUCACCUGACGAGGCAGAAAAAGUGAUUAAAUGUGCAUUUAAGCAUAUUUACAUGGAUGCACACCUUUGAGAAGCCUACUCUGUGGUAGUUAAGAAUCACAGAUGUUGAUUGCAGUGCCUACCUUGUUCUGUUACAACUGCUAUUUCUGUUGACAAAAAAGGCGAGUGCAGGUUAUAGCUUUUAGUUUCCAUUAGUACAUGUAAAAGAGACCGAUGUGAAGAAGUCUGUUCUUCCUUUUGUUUAUAUAAGGGUUUGCUCACUUUCAGUGUGCUGUACCAGAGAAAGUCCACAGAGAACAGUAAUACUCAGCAGGUGCCAAUAAGGACAGAAUCGGAGAGCUAAUUUAAUCUGCUUCUCAGGUUGCUGAAGGUAGCAGCUGGAAUUCCACUAAUUAUCUCCUUCCCAUCUUAGCUUAUAAAGUAAGUGCACCUUAUGGAAUAAGUAGAAAGUAUUCAUUAUUUCCAACAGAUGAAAAUUAUGUUUUAUCCUAAACAAUUGUUAAGAGACCCCAAGCGUGCAUAGUUGCCACUGAGAAGUUUAUAUAUGGGAAAUAACAUGGAGCGUAUUCACUUUGUUAUACUUACGUGUCGAGAUACAAACCUUAGUUUUAGGGGAUUUCAAUCCACUGUUCUUGUAACUACAUUUUUUUUUCUUUUUUAAAUCACAUUUAGUUAUCAUAAAGACCUUUGGUUUCAGUCAGAUUGUUUAAAAGAGACCGCUACACUUAAUAACUGAUAUUAUUUUGUGGUGGAAUAAUCUGUCCUCCAAGAACGUAAAAGAUGUGGAAACACUCUCAUAAAAUAUAAUGCCAGUUCAAGCCAGUAUUUCUCUUCUUAUGAGUGGUGAAUACUGGAAGAAUGACAAACACUACUGGCCUUAUCUGGAUCACAGUACUGCUGAUCUAAAUCACAUAUACAGUGCCCUCCAGUUGUGUUAGGUAUGCAGGAAUGCAGAGCCUCUUAGCAGUGGUUAAAGUCCUCCCUUUGGGAAACAGCUCCCUCAAGUAUUCUCUCAAAGCCUGGCACAUACAUUCCUGGGCAGUUUUUCUGUAGUCACCAUGUCCGUUGAUCUCUUGAUACCAUCCCAUGGAUUUGGGUUGUUUGUCCAACUAGUUCUGUGUUUGCAUAAUGUUUUCGCCACUUCCCAGGAUGAUUUGAACCUCUGUGAAAAUGUGGUACAAUCCUCAGAAUUUACUUAAUAUACCAGGCAUCUCACGUUAACAACCUUUUUGUAGUGUUGCACAAUAGAUAUACAAUGCAAUUUAUUUGUAGGCAGUACAAAUAAGAAAAUAAUAAGCAUCAUUCUUGAUUAUUUUAUUUAUUUUUUUAAUUUAAAUUUUUUUCUCCCCAGAAAGAGCAUAUAGUAAAAAAAAAGAAGUCUACUAGGACAAAUAGAAAAAGGGGCCUAGUUCUCCAAAUUAUUCCCUUAAGUUAUUCUGUUACUACCUGCCAUUCUGGCUGUAAUCAGUUUUAGAUGAAGUCAAUAGCCAAAGAAAUACCACAAAUUAAUUUAUUGAUGACAUUCUUGUUCACUGACUGAUGUUAAUUGACCAUCAAAAGAAUAAAUGUAUGGAAUCCUCAGAAGAAACAUAUCUGUUUAUUUUCAGUUUUCUUAUUGCUCUUCGAAAAUACAUGAUAUCUUACAGCAUCAGCAGAAGGUGGGCUUCUUUUCUCAUACUUACUUUAGAGAUAGUCACUGAAAGUGAAAUAACUUGUGAUGUGAUGAACUCCAUUACACCCUGGGUAUUGCUGCUGGUGAGUGGAUGACUUACAGGAUUAUUAACAGAGUCAAUCUCCUGAUGAUCCAAGCAGACAUUUUUAUUUGCUAACAAAAUGCAGUAAUGGAAAGAACUAUGAGAAAGCUGGAGGAAUUUGCCUAGUGGCUAACAGGACUUGAGCAUACACCUUAAACUUAUUUUAUAGAGGUAGUGCAAUAAAUAAGUAAAUAAAUAUGCAUAUAUACAUAUAUAUAUAUCCUAGCGUAUGUUCAUAUUUGACCAAAAGCUAUUUUCAGGUUAUGGUAUUUCUCAUUUGGGAAAUGAAGGUACUUGCAAUCCACCAUCCCCUGGUCUCUGAGAAGUGACCCAGCCUGAUGCAUAUAUAUCCAUCCUGCUUCAUUCCACCACUCCUUUCUAAGCCAGCAGCCUAAUAAUGAAGCUCUUCAUGAGACUGUGAAGCCAGUACCAGCAACAAUGAGUCUUCAUUAUUCCUGGAGAAGACUGGGGUGUUUGAUAUGCAUGAAGCUUUGUGCAGAUAGCUACGACUAUAAACUGCCAUUUGUUACUGUCAAACAAAUAAGUGUUACAACUAUUUAGAAGUGUUGCUCUUCUCUAGCAAGGGAUUUAUACUUGAAAAAUAAAACAAAAACUAAUUAGUACCUUAUCUUUUUUUUUUCCACCGAAAUGAAUGGAUUUUGGCUGAUGAACGGAAAUCUUGUUCCCUGUUACUGCUUACUCAAUGGGGUUGGAAAUGAUAAAGAAUUGGAUUGAUAUAAGUAACUGAGAUACUUACCUGUGACCUGAGACCUAGUCUGACGAAUCUUUUAGCUAUUUGCACAUAGAUACCAUGUUUGUAAAAUACACAAACUUGUCACAUAAUACAUAACUAUGUAUUUGUAGAUUUAAAAAAUAUAUGUACUUUGCAGAGACCCUACAAAUUGAAAAUGCUGAUCAUCUAUUUGGCUUUUUGUUAUGCAGGAAG
Long non-coding RNA from Gallus gallus (chicken), 6544 nucleotides. The record is from Ensembl. NCBI's taxonomy places the organism in Eukaryota, Metazoa, Chordata, Aves, Galliformes, Phasianidae.